RNAcentral lists this unclassified non-coding RNA (23 nucleotides) under Mus musculus (house mouse). RNAcentral describes it as "oocyte_clustered_small_RNA2740". The record is from RNAcentral. Lineage: Eukaryota; Metazoa; Chordata; Mammalia; Rodentia; Muridae.
UGAUUUCUGGCUGAAACACGUGG